AUGCGAUAAGUAAUGUGAAUUGCAGAAUUCAGUGAAUCAUCGAAUCUUUGAACGCACCUUGCGCUCUUUGGCCAUUCCAAGGAGCAUGCCUGUUUGAGUGUCAUUGAAUCCUCAAGGGGCUCCUCCCCCCUUCUUGCCCUUUCCUUCGAGGGCUUUCUGAGAAGGGGGGGGGGGGAACUUGGACUUGGGAGCGCUGCGGGCGUCGGGCUUUCUCCGGCUUCCGCUCUCCUCAAAUGCAUCAGUAGGUGGCCCCCCUCAUCCCUUCGGGUGUUUGCGGCGUUGAUAGUCGUCUACGCCUCUGCCCCCGUCGGGUCUCGCCUGCUCCUUCAAACCCCACAUUUUUCUUUGAACGCUUUGACCUCAAAUCAGGUAGGACUUACCCGCUGAACUUAA
This 393-nucleotide unclassified non-coding RNA is filed under the name uncultured Agaricomycetes. RNAcentral describes it as "partial contains 5.8S ribosomal RNA, internal transcribed spacer 2, and large subunit ribosomal RNA". The stretch from base 1 to 103 matches the Rfam family "5.8S ribosomal RNA", at positions 53 to 154 of the family's 154-position model. The record is from RNAcentral. Lineage: Eukaryota; Fungi; Basidiomycota; Agaricomycetes.